This 251-nucleotide ribosomal RNA is filed under the name uncultured bacterium. Its description in RNAcentral is "partial 16S ribosomal RNA". It matches the Rfam family "Bacterial small subunit ribosomal RNA", at positions 15 to 257 of the family's 1533-position model. The record is from RNAcentral.
GAUCCUGGCUCAGGAUGAACGCUAGCUACAGGCUUAACACAUGCAAGUCGAGGGGCAGCAUGAACUUAGCUUGCUAAGUUUGAUGGCGACCGGCGCACGGGUGAGUAACACGUAUCCAACCUUCCCGUUACUCUGGGAUAGCCUUUCGAAAGAAAGAUUAAUACCGGAUAGUAUCGAGAGAUUGCAUGAUAACCCGAUUAAAGAUUUAUCGGUAACGGAUGGGGAUGCGUUCCAUUAGAUAGUAGGCGGGG